GUUUUAGUAGUUUAAUUAAAAACAAUGAUUUUGUAAAUCGUUAAUGGUUAUUACCUUAAAACU
RNAcentral lists this transfer RNA (63 nucleotides) under Urolabida histrionica. Its description in RNAcentral is "tRNA-Thr". The record is from RNAcentral. Lineage: Eukaryota; Metazoa; Arthropoda; Insecta; Hemiptera; Urostylididae.